This 491-nucleotide ribosomal RNA is filed under the name uncultured bacterium. Its description in RNAcentral is "partial 16S ribosomal RNA". It matches the Rfam family "Bacterial small subunit ribosomal RNA", at positions 29 to 507 of the family's 1533-position model. The record is from RNAcentral.
AGUGAACGCUGGCGGUAGGCCUAACACAUGCAAGUCGAACGGCAGCACAGUAAGAGCUUGCUCUUACGGGUGGCGAGUGGCGGACGGGUGAGGAAUACAUCGGAAUCUACUUUUUCGUGGGGGAUAACGUAGGGAAACUUACGCUAAUACCGCAUGCGACCUACGGGUGAAAGCAGGGGAUCUUCGGACCUUGCGCGAUUGAAUGAGCCGAUGUCGGAUUAGCUAGUUGGCGGGGUAAAGGCCCACCAAGGCGACGAUCCGUAGCUGGUCUGAGAGGAUGAUCAGCCACACUGGAACUGAGACACGGUCCAGACUCCUACGGGAGGCAGCAGUGGGAAUAUUGGACAAUGGGCGCAAGCCUGAUCCAGCCAUACCGCGUGGGUGAAGAAGGCCUUCGGGUUGUAAAGCCCUUUUGUUGGGAAAGAAAAGCAGCAGGUUAAUACCCCGCUGUUCUGACGGUACCCAAAGAAUAAGCACCGGCUAACUUCGUG